This 1097-nucleotide ribosomal RNA is filed under the name uncultured eukaryote. RNAcentral describes it as "bacterial SSU rRNA". It matches the Rfam family "Eukaryotic small subunit ribosomal RNA", at positions 604 to 1745 of the family's 1831-position model. The record is from RNAcentral.
GAAAGGGUGUGAGUUAAAGCUCGUAGUCGGAUUUCGGGCGCGUGUGAACUGUCCCCUCUGGUUGGAAGGUGCGCCCGUGCCUCUCCGCGUGGGAGCCCCAUGGCGGGGCUUCCUGCCUGGUGGUCCACGUCCCGUUUACUUCUUUGAAUUAAUUGUGUUGUAGCAGGCUGCCGCUUGUCUAAAUUAUUAUGGAGUAAUGACACAAGACCUUGCUGCUCUUUCCUGGGGUACGGGACUGGCGUAAUGAUGAUUAAGAACAAUUGGGGCCGUUCAUAUUUCUUUGUUGUAGGAGAAAUUCUUGGAUUAACUAACAAUGAACUUGUGCGAAAAAUUCUUGCCGAUGUUUUUUUGAUCUCAAAAAAAGUUAUGGGAUCUCAGACAAUAUUAUACCGCCGUAUUCUCUCCAUAAACUAUGCCCCUACUAGAUCAUUGAGUGUCAAUUAACUACCUCAUUGGCCCCUUGUUGAAAUCAAUCUUUUUGGGUUCCUCCGGGAGUAUGGUCGCCGGCUGAUACUUCUUAGAAUUGACGGAAGGGCACCACCACCAGUGGAGCCUGCGGCUUAUUUGACUCCUCACGGCGAAACUUAUUACGUCCACACAUCAUCAUGAUGAACAGAUUAUUGACUCUUUCUUGAUUCUAUGGUGGGUGGUGCAUGGUCGUUCUUCUUUGGUGGAGUGAUUUGUCUGGAUAAUUCCUCUAACGAACAACACCUCCUCCUGCUGCUAAUAAUGACUGUUUUUCCGGGGCUGCCCUUCUUCUUAGAGACUAUACUUGUUCAUAGAAUAUGAAUUUGUGGCGCAAUAACGUGUGUGAUGCCCCCUUAUGUUCUCGGCGCACGCGCGCUAUACUGAUGGAUGCUACAAGAUCUAAUCUUUGACAAAAGGUCCGGGAAACCUUGUCAAAAUCCAUCGUGAUGGGGAUAGAUCAUUGCAAUUCUUGAUCUUCAACGAGAAAUGCCUAGUAAGCGCGAGUCAUCAGCUCGCGUUGAUUACGUCCCUGCCCUUUGUACACACCGCCCGUCGCUCCUACGAUUGAAUGGUGCUGGCGAAAUCGUUCAGAUUGCUGGACAGAGGCUUAGGCACAUAGCUGGUCGACC